RNAcentral lists this ribosomal RNA (388 nucleotides) under uncultured Nitrospina sp. Its description in RNAcentral is "bacterial SSU rRNA". It matches the Rfam family "Bacterial small subunit ribosomal RNA", at positions 29 to 410 of the family's 1533-position model. The record is from RNAcentral. Lineage: Bacteria; Pseudomonadati; Nitrospinota; Nitrospinia; Nitrospinales; Nitrospinaceae.
AACGAACGCUGGCGGCGUGCCUAACACAUGCAAGUCGAACGAGAAAAGUUUCCUUCGGGAAACCAGUAAAGUGGCGCAAGGGUGAGUAACACGUGAAUAAUCUACCUAUGAAUUCGGGAUAACUUGACGAAAGUUGUGCUAAUACCGAAUAAGACCACGUCUCUUAUGUGAUGUGGCCAAAGGAGUCUCAAACUCCGUUUAUAGAUGAGUUCGCGGACCAUUAGCUUGUUGGCGGGAUAAUAGCCCACCAAGGCUACGAUGGUUAGCCGGCCUGAGAGGGUGAUCGGCCACACUGGAACUGAGACACGGUCCAGAUUCCUACGGGAGGCAGCAGUGGGGAUAUGCGCAAUGGGCGAAAGCCUGACGCAGCAACGCCGCGCGAGGGAUG